UACGAAGGGGGCUAGCGUUGCUCGGAAUGACUGGGCGUAAAGGGCGCGUAGGCGGUGCAUUUGGUCAGGUGUGAAAUUCCUGGGCUUAACCUGGGGACUGCGCUUGAGACGGGUGUGCUGGAGGGCAGGAGAGGCUCGCGGAAUUCCCAGUGUAGAGGUGAAAUUCGUAGAUAUUGGGAAGAACACCGGUGGCGAAGGCGGCGAGCUGGCCUGUACCUGACGCUGAGGCGCGACAGCGUGGGGAGCAAACAGG
This 253-nucleotide ribosomal RNA is filed under the name uncultured bacterium. RNAcentral's name for it is "partial 16S ribosomal RNA". It matches the Rfam family "Bacterial small subunit ribosomal RNA", at positions 524 to 776 of the family's 1533-position model. The record is from RNAcentral.